Molecule: ribosomal RNA, 239 nt
Filed under: uncultured bacterium
Lineage: Bacteria
Description: partial 16S ribosomal RNA
Rfam family: Bacterial small subunit ribosomal RNA
Source: RNAcentral
CGGGACGGGGUGGAGUAAUGUCUGGGAAACUAGCCUGAUGGAGGGGGGUAACUACUGGAAACGGUAGCUAAUACCGCAUAACGUCGCAAGACCAAAGAAGGGGGGACCGUUCGGGGCCCUUGCCAUCGGAUGUGCCCAGAUGGGAUUAGCUAGUAGGUGGGGUAACGGCUCACCUAGGCGACGAUCCCUAGCUGGUCUGAGAGGAUGACCAGCCACACUGGAACUGAGACACGGUCCAG